UGACCCUUUCAGGCUGAUUUAGGCCCUGUCUUCCUGAGGCUCACUUUGAAUGUUGUGGCAAAACCACUGACAGAGCUUUUUGAAGAGUCUAGGGAGCAAGUACAAGUCGCCCUCUUCCCUUAACUGAAGAAUCGUUCUCCAACUCUCCAUCAUCGGGAAGGUAGCUUCAGAAGGAGGCCAAGAAGAGGUCUCUCCUGAAAAGCAGUUUCUCACGGUGCAAAUGAAAGUGGAGCUGAUCAGUCUCACAUACAGAAGAAUGUUCAGAACAGUAACUUCCUGCUCUGAUCCCAACAGUGUCUACCCUCCCUAGAGCUCCACCCCUGCCUGGCCUUUGUCUGCAAUUUCCAGGGCCACCCACACCGUCCCCGCUCUCCCAGUGCCCUGGGGAGCCGCUCUCAUUUAUCAAAUGCUCCUUGUUCCCUACCACCUCUCAGCCUAUUAAACCGCUCUGUUCCCAGUCUCUGAUCUUAUCUCUUCCCCUCCUUGGCUUGAAGUUGUUGUCAAUCAUGCCACUCCAUCUUUUUUUCUUUUCUUCCCCCACCACCCCCCA
RNAcentral lists this long non-coding RNA (550 nucleotides) under Homo sapiens (human). RNAcentral describes it as "HSALNT0166317". Lineage: Eukaryota; Metazoa; Chordata; Mammalia; Primates; Hominidae. The record is from RNAcentral.